This 79-nucleotide transfer RNA is filed under the name Nitrososphaeria archaeon. RNAcentral describes it as "tRNA-Pro". It matches the Rfam family "tRNA". From Rfam's summary of the family: Transfer RNA (tRNA) molecules are approximately 80 nucleotides in length. Their secondary structure includes four short double-helical elements and three loops (D, anti-codon, and T loops). The record is from RNAcentral. Lineage: Archaea; Thermoproteati; Nitrososphaerota; Nitrososphaeria.
GGGGCCGUGGGCUAGCCUGGUCUACGCUACCAGCCUCGGGCGCUGGUGAUCGGCGGUUCAAAUCCGCCCGGCCCCACCA